RNAcentral lists this long non-coding RNA (1191 nucleotides) under Anser brachyrhynchus (Pink-footed goose). RNAcentral describes it as "lncRNA (ENSABRG00000016709.1)". Lineage: Eukaryota; Metazoa; Chordata; Aves; Anseriformes; Anatidae. The record is from RNAcentral.
AUGUGGGUGACAGCGUCCCGUGGCCACCAGCCCCUCUGUCUGCGCUGCCCACUGGUGCCAGCCAGCGCAGGGUCCCCUCUCCUGGCAGGAGGGGAGGCCAGUGCCACCACGGGGCUCAGCACAGCUUCGUGCCACCAGGACCCUUCCCGGGGCCACCCCGCUGCCCGUCACCCCACAGCCCCCCGGGGAGAGGUGCCUGCAGCCCCGCUCACAGCUUUCUGCAAGGUUUUAUUACCCAACACCCAAAUUGACAAGUUUAGUCCUCCCUCCCCUUCCUCCCCCCACCCCCCAACAAAAAAAGAAAUGAAGAGGAAAAAGAAGAAAGUCGGGGACCGAGCCGCAGUACCGGUGUGCUGCAGCGCAGGGCUGGAGGGCAGGGGACAGGCGGGGAUGCCGCACGGGCACGGGGCUCCCAAGCAGCCCCCGUUGCAGCCUCCUGCAGCUCAGGUGCUCGCCCAGCUCCUGGGGCCCUGUGGGACCAGUCUUCUGCUGGGGCCGGGCUGGAGGGAGGACGAGGUGCCGGGUCCCACGGCGCAGCAGGGAUGCCGCGGUGCUGCUGGCAGCUGGAUGCUCGCCCCCCCGGUGCGCCGACCCUUUGCUCCCAAAGCUUCCCAGCACGGCAGGGACGUAGGAAAAGUGUUUCAAAAGAGCCACGGCCCCGCAGGCCGCUGGGGAGGAGGUGGCUCGCAGCUGAAAAUGUCUCUUAAAAAGCUCCAAAAAUGCAAACACGGUUCAGUAAAAGCCCCCUAUCCCCACCACCCCUGCAAAAACCCAGUGGUAAAAAGUGGCAGCGCUUUGCAGCUGGCAUGGCCCUGGCUGCUGGCCGGGAGAGCAGCAAGUGGGCCCGAGGACCCACAAAGGGACACGCGCCCGGGGCAUCUCAGGCACCCACCGGGGUCCUGCUCGUGGCAGCGGGGCUGGGCAGGCAGGACGGACACGGCAUCAGGGCGGGCACCGUCCCCACCGCCAGCUGUGACGGGGACAAGGAUGUGCCCUGUGCUCCGACGCAGCCAAGGAGGGCGGGGGGCCAUGGGGACAGCCUCCCCGAGCGCCUCCAGCCACAGUGACGGGGACAAGCAGCCCGUGGCCCCGAGCACACAGGCUCCGUGUCCCAGUUGUGGCUGGCCCCACUGUCCCUCCAGCAAAUCCAUUUUUUGGGGUGGGCACGGCCAGGGGCGGGUGGCACUGUGA